Molecule: ribosomal RNA, 261 nt
Filed under: uncultured bacterium
Lineage: Bacteria
Description: partial 16S ribosomal RNA
Rfam family: Bacterial small subunit ribosomal RNA
Source: RNAcentral
GUCCACGCUGUAAACGAUGGAUACUAGGUGUAGGAGGUAUCGACCCUUCUGUGCCGGAGUUAACACAAUAAGUAUCCCACCUGGGGAGUACGGCCGCAAGGUUGAAACUCAAAGGAAUUGACGGGGCCCGCACAAGCAGUGGAGUAUGUGGUUUAAUUCGAAGCAACGCGAAGAACCUUACCAAGGCUUGACAUACAGUGGAAUACGGCAGAGAUGUCGUAGCUCUUCGGAGCUGCUGUACAGGUGGUGCAUGGUUGUCGU